Molecule: long non-coding RNA, 205 nt
Filed under: Hordeum vulgare
Lineage: Eukaryota; Viridiplantae; Streptophyta; Magnoliopsida; Poales; Poaceae
Description: long non-coding RNA (HVUL_LNC021051)
Source: RNAcentral
CGAAUACAAUUCAUCAUAUUAGUCUCCGAAUUUAAAAUACUGAACAAAGUUAGAACAUUACAAGUCUCGAGACCGCGAGUAGCGAGUUUGUCUUCACAUUACAAGUCGGUAUCGAUCAUCUAAACUACCAUCACAUAGAAGAGAGUUGCAGUCAUCACGAUGAACAUAAUCGCGAUGAAACUGGUCUUCAUCCGGUUCCUCCAAC